AUUUCAGCCUGUAUGAAUCACUUUUCCUUAUUUCCCCGCCAACUCUGCUUUUUCGGAGGAGGAUUGUACAGUUUGCAGAAGAACCAUCUGUGAUACAGCGGAAAAAAGCACUUAGACUGGAAGUCAGGAAGUCUCAGUUCUGGUCCCAGCUGUGCCACUGUUGUUUGACUUUGGGGUCUCUCAAAAGUCUUCUCCAGGACUACAAUUGGAAAGCAUCACUUCUGCAGCACUCAGCUUUACCAGAGACACUGUGGACUUGGCUU
RNAcentral lists this long non-coding RNA (263 nucleotides) under Monodelphis domestica (gray short-tailed opossum). Its description in RNAcentral is "lncRNA (ENSMODG00000046837.1)". Lineage: Eukaryota; Metazoa; Chordata; Mammalia; Didelphimorphia; Didelphidae. The record is from RNAcentral.